UCGGCCGUGAUGCUGCCGUCAGGGUGGAAGUACCGCCGCAUUGGAGGGGCGCCCUCGCCCCUCCAGGAUGGGUCCAGCUCCCGCCAGUACUCCGGCGCCAUCUGCGGAGGGGGUGAGAAAGAAGAAGCUAAUUAUCCGAUACAGUAACAGAGACAAGUUUGAUAAGAGUAAAGGGAGAUGAGAUGGAUACUGGCUGCAGAGAAGAGAGAACAAACCACAGAACAAAAGUAGAUGAGCUGGAUUAUACUCCUAUGAAACUAAGAAAACUGAACUAAAGAUAUAAAAUACAGAAACUAAUCCUUCAGAGAGGCCACAGUUUCUGCUGUCAUAAAACUAAUUUUCUCCCCGGCAUAGCUCUUCCACUGAGGAGCUAUUUAUAACAAUCACAAAAAGACUCCUUACCAUCAACAACUUGAAAGUAAAUCUAAACCUAGAAGACUAAUGACACAAGACUCUUUAAACAUAUCAGCAGGGACAAUCCCUAUCACUUGCCUUGUUGAAUCAGCCUUGUUCUCAAGACUGAUGUGGAACCGUCCAUGGGGAAUCGUUAAAGCCACCAUAAUCUCGUCACACGGGCUGGUCUGGUGCAGCGUCUUGAAAUAGCCCAUCAGCAGCAGCAAUAAAUUAAUCCUCCACAGAGGCCUACCAUUUUCACUGUCCUAAAACUAAUUUUCUCCCCGGUGCAUAACGUUUUGAUGAGGAGCUAUUUAUAACAAUUAUAAAGACUCCCAAUUCUUAUCAACAACUUGAAAGUAAUCCAAACCUAGAAGACUAAUGAAUUAAUACUCAAUAAAAUAAUAACUAAGGAUAGUAAACAAAGGUUAACUACUACUACUUCCACCAAAAUCGGCAGGGAAGAUCCCUAUCAGAGUUCCAAGUGCUCUUCAUUUUGACUGCUGGAGAAGUUUAUGCCCCAUAACUUAUCUGGAUUCAUGAAGUGUUUAUCGGGAAAUAAUACAUUUAAUGAAAAUAAGGUGGAUAACCAAAGCAACAAUUGGCAAGACUAUUUAUUAGAGUCGCUGAUAAUCUGAUCUAAUUUCUUCUUCACAUCAUCAGGCACGUGAUUGUUUGCUAUUUCACUAGUAGAAUAACAGAUACUACUAUAAUGGAGCAUCAUAACCCAAAUUCAGCACAAGCAUGCAAAUUUUUACAAAUCUUCUUAUGGUCAACAAAAAUAUUACUGUGUUCCAGUAGGAGACGUUACAAGAGGCUUGCUAAAUGUAUCAUAUGACAUCAAAUAGAACAUAGUAGUAAAAUGAUAAAUUCGGAACAAGGGAGAAAAUGAACUACAGCAAUAACAAAACGAGCACAGAUGGCACACUGGACCCAUUUGUUUUUCACAUUUGCAGCUGAAUGCAUUCGAACUAGUACCAAUAACACUCAUUGUACAAUUUUGGAGGCAAAAUAAAUUACUUUCAUGUCUUAUUUCUCGAA
Salvia splendens (bonfire salvia) is the source of this 1434-nucleotide long non-coding RNA. RefSeq lists it as uncharacterized. The transcript has 2 exons. Lineage: Eukaryota; Viridiplantae; Streptophyta; Magnoliopsida; Lamiales; Lamiaceae. The record is from RefSeq and is a predicted model, not a curated record.